UGUUAUCUCAAUUCUUUUUGCAACUGUAGAUGCUUGCAGGCAGGGAUUCUUAGCUGUCCCCACAUCCUUCUCCUACCCGAGUCCAUGCAAGGAAACACUGAUCCAGCGACAUGACUAGGUUGAUUGAAGCUGGCUCCUUGCCAAGUUGCCAUGGCGAAGCUGUGAUGUGGGAUGGCGCCAUGGCAGUGGUACUCCAUCCCAAAGCCAAGAUGCAAGAAGGACCACUCAAUAUUUCGUCAGAGAGCGAAUGCCUUCUCCACUUCUGCCAAUGCUACCGCUGGGAAAACGGCUGAUGACAACGUGCAUGAAGAUGCCCCAAAGAAGGACAUCGAUGAUCAGAUAGCAGAUAUUCAGAUCCUUCAAAACCUUUGGAAGUACUUAAGGAUGAACAAUAGCCGUGAUUUCAACAUCAGGAUUGUGUUGUUAUUGGGUAUCUUAGUCGGCGCGAAGGUAGAUGUUACUGGUCGAAAUUGUUACCUAUACAAAUAUUGUUCGAGCUAAAAUAAUGCAACCCACUUUUGUUAGCAAA
Molecule: long non-coding RNA, 529 nt
Organism: Hordeum vulgare subsp. vulgare (domesticated barley)
Lineage: Eukaryota; Viridiplantae; Streptophyta; Magnoliopsida; Poales; Poaceae
Exons: 2
Source: RefSeq, a predicted model, not a curated record